This 69-nucleotide transfer RNA is filed under the name Ictidomys tridecemlineatus (thirteen-lined ground squirrel). RNAcentral describes it as "Spermophilus tridecemlineatus (thirteen-lined ground squirrel) tRNA". It matches the Rfam family "tRNA". Rfam says of the family: Transfer RNA (tRNA) molecules are approximately 80 nucleotides in length. Their secondary structure includes four short double-helical elements and three loops (D, anti-codon, and T loops). Lineage: Eukaryota; Metazoa; Chordata; Mammalia; Rodentia; Sciuridae. The record is from Rfam by way of RNAcentral.
GGGAUUGUGGCUCAGCGGUAGAGCACUCGCCUAGCAUGUGUGAGGUCCUGAGUUCGAUCCUCAGCACCA